GAUGAACGCUGGCGGCGUGCCUAAUACAUGCAAGUCGAACGCAUUGAGAGAAGUGCUUGCACUUUUCAAUUUGAGUGGCGAACGGGUGAGUAACACGUGGGCAACCUACCUGAUAGCGGGGGAUAACGAGUGGAAACAUUCGCUAAUACCGCAUAACAAUAGAGAAGGCAUCUUCUUUAUUUAAAAGGCGCUUUCAAGCGUCACUAUCAGAUGGGCCCGCGGUGCAUUAGUUAGGUGGUGGGGUGAAGGCCUACCAAGACGAUGAUGCAUAGCCGAGUUGAGAGACUGGUCGGACACAUUGGGAGUGAGACACGGCCCAAACUCCUACGGGAGGCUGCAGUAGGGAAUCUUCCACAAUGGACGAAAGUCUGAUGGAGCAACGCCGCGUGUGUGAUGAAGGCUUUCGGGUCGUAAAGCACUGCUGUAUGGGAAGAAAUGCUAGGCUAGGAAAUGAGCUUAGUUUGACGGUACCAUACCAGAAAGGGACGGCUAAAUACGUGCCAGCCGCCGCCGUAA
This 516-nucleotide ribosomal RNA is filed under the name uncultured bacterium. RNAcentral describes it as "partial 16S ribosomal RNA". It matches the Rfam family "Bacterial small subunit ribosomal RNA", at positions 28 to 523 of the family's 1533-position model. The record is from RNAcentral.